GUUGGAAGAAAAAAAAACAUCGAUCCGUCCUGCACAACUAUGCCGACUGACUGUAAGUAUUCAUAUGAGUGUAUUAUGAUUAUAUUAUGACUAUGUCUAUGUGAAUCAGCUGUUUAUAUCUGAACGUAGCAGCGAUUACUUCACAGCGAUUCGCGGCGCCGGAGGCGAGAGCGUGAAACAGCAGCCGGGUCCACGUGGAAGUAUGUUUUUUGUUUUGUUUUUUAUAGCAGCGUGUAAUAUAUAGUUCCAUAACACUCUCUCUAUCAUUAUUAUUAUUAGUUAUGGUAUAUUCAUGUAGAACAAAGAUUAAAUUUGUGUUUUCCCAAUGUGUAACAGGUUUGCCUGAUAUUCGGCUCAACAUUCAAAGACCGAUUCUAGCAGACCAGACUAAUGUGCUGACAAGCGGUAGUUUUGUACCUAUUGAGGCCAAUGUCAUUCAGCGAACCCCCGGACCAACGCCAAGUCGACUGUCCAAGAAGAAUUUGAAAAGAUCGGCGGGGGUAGUGGUGGCUAUACCCUGUUCACCACUGGCCAUAGAACAGCUACAAAUUCCUUAUAAAAAGGCUCGCAAGGAUGCCACACAUAAUGGUUUAGCUCCGGAGAAUUUUACCCAGGUUAUACAGGCAGUCAUAAACCCGCAAAUUGCGCAACAUGGAGCGGCAUGGUCUGAUUCCAAACACCGUGUGAUCGGGGACGUGGAGGUGCAUGUGUCUGAGUCGCCUACAGAGACCGUCACAGUGCAACCGGUUGGGACUAUACAACACGCAGCCCAUGGAGAUCCCCAGUGUGCGCCACCACCAGGGCUGACCGCCGACGAUUGGGCUGGUCUUGACGACAUCUCGUCCUGGACUUCAUCGUUGUUGGAUCAUAUCGACUUCACUCCUGCUCAGUGGAUCGACUCUCCAGCUACAUCCAUAGAGGCUACCAUCAGUGCAGAGCCUGUACAACACCAUCAGCCUGCAGAUCCUGCAUCUGGAUCCCUACACGCCAUUCAAGACCCUAUCAGCGACCCCCCGUGCACCGUGAGUCCCAUCGCUCAUGAGGUAGCGGUGCCGCGGCUACCAGCCGGUCCCGCAAUUGCUGUUGAUGAACACCAUGCAGGGGUGCAAGGUGAUAACUGGCGUAAACAAUUUGCUGAUAAACUAGCCGUGUUAACUGCGUCGGUAGAUGUAAACUCCUUAGCCAUUGCUCGUCAGAGUAAACUGGGGGUGGCGGCUGGUAAACGUGGUGACCGUAUAUAUCAGGAGCUCGAAGAGCAGACGAAGCAGUCCUUCACGGUUCUCAGGGCCGAGAUUGCGCGUGAUCAUAUGACUGCUGAAUCCCCAAACACUGAGACAUAGUGAGAAUUAACGCGCAAGAGGGGUUAAGAGCUGCUAAAACCGCUCGAAAAUUCUGGUUAAUGCAAUCUGCUAGCGAAGCCAACGUCAAUGCCUAUCGGGCAAUGAGUACCGAGAUGUCUGUGAUUAAUGACACACUAGCAAAGCUUACGAUGAAUGCUAUUAUUUGAUUUGUGUUUUUGUUUUUAAUGUUUUUUUCUUUUAUUUCAUGGAGAGGGUAUCUUUUGUUUUAAACUGCAUGUAAUAAAACUUUUUUUUCUUUUAAUACCUGACUACUUAACGUUUUUUUUUUAAAUAUUAUUAUUUAUAUAUAUAUAUAUAUAUAUAUAUAUACAUAUAUUUUUUUUUUUAUUUUUUUUUUUUAUAUCUAUCGGCAUA
Molecule: long non-coding RNA, 1715 nt
Organism: Gadus morhua (Atlantic cod)
Lineage: Eukaryota; Metazoa; Chordata; Actinopteri; Gadiformes; Gadidae
Source: Ensembl